AAGUCGAACGCUUUGUGGUUCAACUGAUUUGAAGAGCUUGCUCAGAUAUGACGAUGGACAUUGCAAAGAGUGGCGAACGGGUGAGUAACACGUGGGAAACCUACCUCUUAGCAGGGGAUAACAUUUGGAAACAGAUGCUAAUACCGUAUAACAAUGACAACCGCAUGGUUGUUAUUUAAAAGAUGGUUCUGCUAUCACUAAGAGAUGGUCCCGCGGUGCAUUAGCUAGUUGGUAAGGUAAUGGCUUACCAAGGCGAUGAUGCAUAGCCGAGUUGAGAGACUGAUCGGCCACAAUGGGACUGAGACACGGCCCAUACUCCUACGGGAGGCAGCAGUAGGGAAUCUUCCACAAUGGGCGAAAGCCUGAUGGAGCAACGCCGCGUGUGUGAUGAAGGGUUUCGGCUCGUAAAACACUGUUGUAAGAGAAGAAUGACAUUGAGAGUAACUGUUCAAUGUGUGACGGUAUCUUACCAGAAAGGAACGGCUAAAUACGUGCCAGCAGCCGCGGUAAUACGUAUGUUCCAAGCGUUAUCCGGAUUUAUUGGGCGUAAAGCGAGCGCAGACGGUUAUUUAAGUCUGAAGUGAAAGCCCUCAGCUCAACUGAGGAAUUGCUUUGGAAACUGGAUGACUUGAGUGCAGUAGAGGAAAGUGGAACUCCAUGUGUAGCGGUGAAAUGCGUAGAUAUAUGGAAGAACACCAGUGGCGAAGGCGGCUUUCUGGACUGUAACUGACGUUGAGGCUCGAAAGUGUGGGUAGCAAACAGGAUUAGAUACCCUGGUAGUCCACACCGUAAACGAUGAGUGCUAGGUGUUUGAGGGUUUCCGCCCUUAAGUGCCGCAGCUAACGCAUUAAGCACUCCGCCUGGGGAGUACGACCGCAAGGUUGAAACUCAAAGGAAUUGACGGGGACCCGCACAAGCGGUGGAGCAUGUGGUUUAAUUCGAAGCAACGCGAAGAACCUUACCAGGUCUUGACAUCCCUUGACAACUCCAGAGAUGGAGCGUUCCCUUCGGGGACAAGGUGACAGGUGGUGCAUGGUUGUCGUCAGCUCGUGUCGUGAGAUGUUGGGUUAAGUCCCGCAACGAGCGCAACCCUUAUUACUAGUUGCCAGCAUUUAGUUGGGCACUCUAGUGAGACUGCCGGUGACAAACCGGAGGAAGGUGGGGAUGACGUCAAAUCAUCAUGCCCCUUAUGACCUGGGCUACACACGUGCUACAAUGGCGUAUACAACGAGUUGCCAACCCGCGAGGGUGAGCUAAUCUCUUAAAGUACGUCUCAGUUCGGAUUGUAGGCUGCAACUCGCCUACAUGAAGUCGGAAUCGCUAGUAAUCGCGGAUCAGCACGCCGCGGUGAAUACGUUCCCGGGUCUUGUACACACCGCCCGUCACACCAUGAGAGUUUGUAACACCCAAAGCCGGUGGGGUAACCUUCGGGAGCCAGCC
RNAcentral lists this ribosomal RNA (1440 nucleotides) under Weissella confusa. RNAcentral's name for it is "bacterial SSU rRNA". It matches the Rfam family "Bacterial small subunit ribosomal RNA". Lineage: Bacteria; Bacillati; Bacillota; Bacilli; Lactobacillales; Lactobacillaceae. The record is from RNAcentral.